CUGUUGACAUACCAAACAGUUAAAAACAAAGUCAAUUAUAUCUCUUUUCAUCUUGUUCUACCAAAAUUGAGGUCGCAUAUUUUGGUACAUCUUAGUUCUUCCGGGAUGCAUGACAAAUUUUGAGUUAUAGACCUCUGUUAUAAUGUCCCUUUUUAACUCACUGUCACCCAGAACACACACUCUUUCUUGGAAUCUGAGCAACCCAUCGGUAGAG
RNAcentral lists this long non-coding RNA (214 nucleotides) under Carica papaya (papaya). Its description in RNAcentral is "long non-coding RNA (CPAP_LNC007488)". The record is from RNAcentral. Lineage: Eukaryota; Viridiplantae; Streptophyta; Magnoliopsida; Brassicales; Caricaceae.